GCAGUGUUCAUCACGGUCGUGCAGGUGUGUCGGUUUCAUAAUUUCUUAGGUUCGAGCCUUUGCGGCUGUCAGCAUGGGUCCAGAGACUAUCCCCUGAUGUGAUUCGCUCCCUGUUUAGGUGCUUGUGGCCCUCCAGGGUUGUAAAGCAGGGAUCCUUCAGAGUAGAUGGCCAAGCUCUGGCCAACUCAUCUGUUUGCCUGCUUUUGCAUGCAGGGAUGGGGUCGCGUGGUUGCCAGGACGUGGCGAUAAGAAGCAUCACUCGGAGGCGCGUUUCACGUAGAAGGAGUUUUCUUUUACUACCCUCGGAUGACUUCCUUCGUCACGCGUGGAUCUGCUCUAAGGCUGCCUGCCUGCCGGCCGCCUGCGGAAGUCCUCCCUGGGGCCUUUGCCGCCCGGAGCUGCCAGGCAUCGCGGGCGCGCCCACACAGAGGACCUGCGAACCGACCAGCUUCUCGGAGGGUGAGUGAGCGAGGGGACCGGGCCGGAUGGGCUGCAGCAGCCAGGGCUUGGGCCCUCAGCGCCGUGGAGCGGGCCGCGUGGGGGAGGACGUUCGCGCAGCUCCGUGUGCCAGAGCCGCCACCGCCGCUGGGAGACCCGUGCUGGCGGGAAGGCGCCUGCCCCCGCUGGGGCGGUGGCGAACCUCAGUAGCGGCCGGCCCUGGAGGGAGGCGGCGAGGCAGGCGCUGCGAGGCAGGCGCUUCAAGGCGGCUUGCCUGCGGCCAGGGGUUUGUGUGGAGUUGCCAAGUAUUCGGAAGCCUGUCAACCUCCAGGUCAGUUCCCU
Molecule: long non-coding RNA, 780 nt
Filed under: Castor canadensis (American beaver)
Lineage: Eukaryota; Metazoa; Chordata; Mammalia; Rodentia; Castoridae
Description: lncRNA (ENSCCNG00000010589.1)
Source: RNAcentral